GGGCUUUCACAAUGAGCAAUAAAGCUUCUUGCCUUGUUUCCCACCACAGCAUGCGUGUGUGCUUCAGCAGUGAUGGGCAGCAGCUGCAGGGUAAAUUCCCACAGUGAAGCACUGCAGUCAGCUCCAUGGGGAGGACAUUGGGAGGUUCUGGAGCUUCCCAGCAAACAGGACCAGGAAAAAUAUUGGACUUGUACAGUUGACCUAGACAAUAUUUAGGAUUGAGCUCAAGAUUUCUGUGUGUAUCCCCAAAGCUCAGAUGGUUUAAGGACACAAAGAAAUGUCUCUGGACAAUGAGAGCUGCUCAUUUUUCCCAGCAUGGACUAGAAUGAAGUUUUUAGGUCACCAAACUGAAUCUCUGCAGUUCUGUUGAAAGAGAAAAAAUAGUCUCUGAGUUCUGUGGGUAGGAAGGGAAGAAGGAAGAUGGAAUAACUCUGCCUGGUGACACACUGAUUUUGAGACUGAGUGACUGGUGUAGAAUAUCAUGAGGAUGGAUUCAGGACAAGUAAAGGAUGGUCUACAUAAAUGCUGGAAAUGUACAGCAAAUGUGGCUGUGCACUGCAAACUGAGGCUCAUUUUUCAUCCAGUCUGUCAUGUGCAAGUGAAAUUGUACACCUUCAAAAAGGAAAGGACUCAGCAGAAAGAGAAUGUUGGUGGAGCUUGUACCUGUGUGCUUGGGGAGCAGGAAACAAGUGAGUCUUCAAGAGUGAUGAAACAAAAAACAAUUGAGUGUUCCUGGUGCCUGGCCACGAGGGGAAAUGUGCAUUUACAAAGGAGGAGGCUAGACUGAAGGCAGAAUUGAACCCCACAUAUGGAAAAUUCUCUGCUAUCCUGCCUUCAUAAAUAGGAAGCUCAGCUACAUAUUCUUCCUUUGGUUCCCACGGUGAACACAUCAAUGAUUGUAUCAAACAGAUCAACAGUUUUGAGCUGAUGGAUGUUCAAAACUUCAGCUGUUCAAAGCCUACCCAAACUUGCCAGCUCCUUCAGUUUCUUCACACAGACUGACCAACCUUAUUGUUUCAAGUACAGACAAGAGGAGCUCUUUAGGACAUUGUCAGGAUGGUCCUGCCUUGCUCUUCCAGAAUAAGUCACAGGCUGGGAAUGCUUCCAGCAAUAGAGGGAAAGUGGAGCUAUUCAUAGCCCAGCACAUCUCCAUUUCAGAAGGACUGGAAGAUGAAACAAUUCCUGGUUUCCUUUCCUUUUCAGUGCUCUUCAAAGAGCUUGGGAGACUGUGAUUUCCUGAACUUUUAAAUUUGCGACAAAGAAAUCUUGUCUGCAGCGUGUUUAAAGGACUUCGGUGAAAAUGUUCUUGUGUCUCUGGUUUGCACUUUCAGGCCAUGGCUGAGGGAGUGCUGAGGUGUGCAGUGAGCAGGGGCCCAGCCCAGAGUGGGAGGGUUGGCUGGAGCCUGGUUUGGGUGUCAGUGCAAGCAGUGUCACCCUGGGAGUCCAAAACACUUCUUGAAAGAUGAGUCAUGAAAGGAGAAGGUUCUGGAAGAUUUGGGUGACUGAAAUAUGUAACCACACCCCUCCGUCCUUCCUGCUGCUGGGGAUGCUCAGUUUGCAAGGACCUUGCUGUCCUGGGUGCCCUGUGCAGGGCUCAGGACACCCUGCACGAUCAAUUAUCUGCAGAGGGAGGCUGGGCAGGGAUCACAGGAUCACAGAACUGCUAAGGCUGGGAAAGACCUCGGAGGUGAUUGAGCCCAAGCAUUAACCCAGCCCCACUGUGCUCACCACGAAACCCUAUCCCCAAGUGCCACAUCCACAUGCUUUCAGAACACUUCCAGGAACAGUGAUUCCACCACUUCCCUGCUACACCCUGAGUGGGUUUGGCUUUCUUAGGUUUUUUUUUCCCCCUUCACUUGUAUUGUUUCCCUGAAAGUGGAAAUAUCUGCAUUUUCUAAUUUUGAAAAUUUUAGAGGAAAUUGUGCAGAUGGCUCCUCAAACUUGACAAAAGACCUACAGGGUAAUGCAGUGAAGCUUAGUCUUAACAAAAUUACCAGAAAUUGUGCUAAGAGCAUCACAACUUCAACUAAUGUAAAAUCAGUGAAGGUUUUUUGAAAAGUAGUGCAUCCAUUUGAUGCUUGUCUGGAAAACUAAGCAUACUGAAUGCAUAAUAAAUAAAAACAACUUUUGGCAUUGUCUCACCUUUUUCCUUGACGUGACUUUAUUAUAACUAAGAAAAAUCUUUGUAUUCCAAAGAGAAGGCUGUUUUUAAAAACACAUGUGAAUAAAAUAAAUAUUAGUAUGGUGCAAAUACUCAUUGAAUGAUUUUUUAAUAUUAUUUUUGUAUGGCUUUGGUAUAAGUUACUGUUUAAUAGAACUCUGAAGCUCAGGUAGUAAUUUAAUGUUAUGUUCAGUGUUAGCCCCUUUACUGGUAAAAGUGCAGGAGAGGUCCAGGCAUCCUUUAUGUCUUCAAAGUUCAUGAUUUGUGUGCAGUCAUAAAGAGUGGAUAGCUCAUAAUUUAAUUAUUUAAUCCAUAAGAUCCAUUUAAAAAAGAAGGACAAAAAAAGUGAAUGCUUUCUUUACAAUGAAUUUAUGGUAACUCUCAUGUACUCAUGCAUUCAUUAGCAGAGAAAACAG
Passer domesticus (house sparrow) is the source of this 2577-nucleotide long non-coding RNA. RefSeq lists it as uncharacterized. NCBI's taxonomy places the organism in Eukaryota, Metazoa, Chordata, Aves, Passeriformes, Passeridae. The record is from RefSeq and is a predicted model, not a curated record. The transcript is spliced from 8 exons.